Molecule: long non-coding RNA, 1516 nt
Organism: Equus caballus (horse)
Lineage: Eukaryota; Metazoa; Chordata; Mammalia; Perissodactyla; Equidae
Source: Ensembl
AUUCACGUGGCUGCAGGCAGAGAGGGAUGGAGGCAGAGCAAUGGUCAAGAUGCUGCUGCAGAGGGGCUGGGCUGGUGGCGCAGUGUUUAAGUUAGUGUGUUCUGCUUUGGCCACCUGGUUUCACCGGUUUGGAUCCCGGGCAUGGCAGCCUAAUGAGAACAGCUGCCUUCAGUGUGAGCGGGUUGCUCAUCCUCAGGAACGUCAGACGUGACUGCGGUGGUGGCUUCUGGAAGAAGUUUACACAUCCAAGUUCAAGUCCUUGGGUGGCCAACAUGGUUGUCGCUUUUACCGUCAGAAUCUCCCUAACAUUCUUCGUAACAGGAGGAAGGACUGUUUCUAAAACCAAACUACCAGCCAGAGGGGGCUGACCUUAGAGUGGGAAGCUUACAAUAAAUCGGAGAAUUCUGGGAAUCCAACCCCAAGAAUGCUGGCCCCUUUCCCCACUUGUGACUGUCUUUUGAACUUUAGGACUUGGCAGUCAUCCAAACCAAAUAACCCUGGGGGGCAAAAGCCAAUGGAGUCCAGAACAAUUUCUGCCUCUUUGUUUCAGAUUAGAUGUAUUUAACGGAUGUAUCUCAGAAUGCUUGCCCCUUUCCGUUCUCAGAACAGCUUCUCUAGUAGAAUGAGAAUCUGCAUGAAUUUUUUUUUUUUCACUAUGCUUUUAUAACAAGGCAUUUGGUUGUUUCAUUGGGAGAGAAUUUCCAAGAUUUCAAACUCUAGUCUCUGGUCCUAAGUAUCCUGGUGGCACCACUUAGAUGUGCUAAUUGAAGUCACUUGUUAAAGUGAGUGGGUCUUAGCACUGGAACCUUGUGCUGUUUAAGAACAUAGAUGCUCACUCCUCUGGCUCUCUCCUUUCUGGCCUCUCCUAAUUCUGGCUUCCACUUGCUCCGGCGCUGACCUGCUUGAUCAGUGCCUACACCUGGGGGUUGUGGGCAGCUAGUUAGAGCCUCAUACGCAAUCGGUGAAUUAGGAACUAAUACGACCCCCAUUUUACAGUGGCAGAAAUGAAUGCCCAGAAAGGUUAAAUGAUUCAUAUAAGACCACUCAGCUCUGGACUUUUCUGCUUUUGAUUCUAUAAUCCAAAGAAUCCAUGAUUCUCAUUUCAUCUGUAAAACAGCAAAAAUUACUACCCACUUACUUGGAUGGUGAGGAUGAAAGAUAUAUAGAUGCAAAAUUAGUGAGACUAGCAUCAAGAAGGCUGGGGUCAUUGGGAGCCAACUGAAGAAAUUGGGGGCAUUAAAUAUCACCCCAAGUAUUUUGUAUGAGUUGGCUCUGGCUGCCACAGCAAAAUAUCAUAGACUGGGCGGCUUAAACAAUACAAAUGUAUUUUCUCACAGUUCUGGAAGUUGGAAGUCUGAGAUCAGGAUGCCAGCAGGGUCAGGUUCUGGUGAUGACUCUCUUCCUGGCUUGAUCACAUGGUGGUCUCAGAUGUCUCUUCUUAUGAGGAUGCUAGUCCUCUGGUAUCAGGGCCCCAUCCUUAUGACCUCAGUUAAUCUUAAUUACCUCCUUAUAGAUC